RNAcentral lists this ribosomal RNA (1346 nucleotides) under uncultured bacterium. RNAcentral's name for it is "bacterial SSU rRNA". It matches the Rfam family "Bacterial small subunit ribosomal RNA", at positions 28 to 1381 of the family's 1533-position model. The record is from RNAcentral.
GACGAACGCUGUCGGCGUGCUUAACACAUGCAAGUCGAACGGAAAGGCCCUGCUUUUGUGGGGUGCUCGAGUGGCGAACGGGUGAGUAACACGUGAGUAACCUGCCCUUGACUUUGGGAUAACUUCAGGAAACUGGGGCUAAUACCGGAUAGGAGCUCCUGCUGCAUGGUGGGGGUUGGAAAGUUUCGGCGGUUGGGGAUGGACUCGCGGCUUAUCAGCUUGUUGGUGGGGUAGUGGCUUACCAAGGCUUUGACGGGUAGCCGGCCUGAGAGGGUGACCGGCCACAUUGGGACUGAGAUACGGCCCAGACUCCUACGGGAGGCAGCAGUGGGGAAUAUUGCACAAUGGGCGGAAGCCUGAUGCAGCAACGCCGCGUGCGGGAUGACGGCCUUCGGGUUGUAAACCGCUUUCGCCUGUGACGAAGCGUGAGUGACGGUAAUGGGUAAAGAAGCACCGGCUAACUACGUGCCAGCAGCCGCGGUGAUACGUAGGGUGCGAGCGUUGUCCGGAUUUAUUGGGCGUAAAGGGCUCGUAGGUGGUUGAUCGCGUCGGAAGUGUAAUCUUGGGGCUUAACCCUGAGCGUGCUUUCGAUACGGGUUGACUUGAGGAAGGUAGGGGAGAAUGGAAUUCCUGGUGGAGCGGUGGAAUGCGCAGAUAUCAGGAGGAACACCAGUGGCGAAGGCGGUUCUCUGGGCCUUUCCUGACGCUGAGGAGCGAAAGCGUGGGGAGCGAACAGGCUUAGAUACCCUGGUAGUCCACGCUGUAAACGGUGGGUACUAGGUGUGGGGUCCAUUCCACGGGUUCCGUGCCGUAGCUAACGCUUUAAGUACCCCGCCUGGGGAGUACGGCCGCAGGGCUAAAACUCAAAGGAAUUGACGGGGCCCCGCACAAGCGGCGGAGCAUGCGGAUUAAUUCGAUGCAACGCGUAGAACCUUACCUGGGUUUGACAUGGAUCGGGAGUGCUCAGAGAUGGGUGUGCCUCUUUUGGGGUCGGUUCACAGGUGGUGCAUGCCUGUCGUCAGCUCGUGUCGUGAGAUGUUGGGUUAAGUCCCGCAACGAGCGCAACCCUUGUUCACUGUUGCCAGCACGUUAUGGUGGGGACUCAGUGGAGACCGCCGGGGUCAACUCGGAGGAAGGUGGGGAUGACGUCAAGUCCUCAUGCCCCUUAUGUCCAGGGCUUCACGCAUGCUACAAUGGCUGGUACAGAGAGUGGCGAGCCUGUGAGGGUGAGCGAAUCUCGGAAAGCCGGUCUCAGUUCGGAUUGGGGUCUGCAACUCGACCUCAUGAAGUCGGAGUCGCUAGUAAUCGCAGAUCAGCAACGCUGCGGUGAAUACGUUCCCGGGACU